Triticum urartu is the source of this 126-nucleotide non-coding RNA. NCBI's taxonomy places the organism in Eukaryota, Viridiplantae, Streptophyta, Magnoliopsida, Poales, Poaceae. The record is from Rfam.
UUAUUACUUCCUCCGUCCUAAAUUACUUGUCGUAGAAAUGAAUAAAAAUGGAUGUAUCUAGAUCUAAAAAUACUUUUAGAUAGAUCUGUUUCCACAACAAGUAAUUUCGGACGAAGAGAAUAUAUU